GUUCUCCGUUUGGCAGCAUAUACACUAAAAUUAGAACGACAUAGAGAAGAGUACCAUGGCCCNUGCACCAAGGAUGGCACGCAAAUUCGUGAAGCUUUCCAUAUUUUU
This 108-nucleotide small nuclear RNA is filed under the name Salvator merianae (Argentine black and white tegu). The record is from RNAcentral. Lineage: Eukaryota; Metazoa; Chordata; Lepidosauria; Squamata; Teiidae.